UUAACACAUGCAAGUCGAACGAUGAAGCCCAGCUUGCUGGGUGGAUUAGUGGCGAACGGGUGAGUAACACGUGAGUAACCUGCCCUUAACUCUGGGAUAAGCCUGGGAAACUGGGUCUAAUACCGGAUAGGAGCGUCUACCGCAUGGUGGGUGUUGGAAAGAUUUAUCGGUUUUGGAUGGACUCGCGGCCUAUCAGCUUGUUGGUGAGGUAAUGGCUCACCAAGGCGACGACGGGUAGCCGGCCUGAGAGGGUGACCGGCCACACUGGGACUGAGACACGGCCCAGACUCCUACGGGAGGCAGCAGUGGGGAAUAUUGCACAAUGGGCGCAAGCCUGAUGCAGCGACGCCGCGUGAGGGAUGACGGCCUUCGGGUUGUAAACCUCUUUCAGUAGGGAAGAAGCGAAAGUGACGGUACCUGCAGAAGAAGCACCGGCUAACUACGUGCCAGCAGCCGCGGUAAUACGUAGGGUGCGAGCGUUAUCCGGAAUUAUUGGGCGUAAAGAGCUCGUAGGCGGUUUGUCGCGUCUGUCGUGAAAGUCCGGGGCUUAACCCCGGAUCUGCGGUGGGUACGGGCAGACUAGAGUGCAGUAGGGGAGACUGGAAUUCCUGGUGUAGCGGUGGAAUGCGCAGAUAUCAGGAGGAACACCGAUGGCGAAGGCAGGUCUCUGGGCUGUAACUGA
This 682-nucleotide ribosomal RNA is filed under the name Micrococcus sp. SMCC G988. RNAcentral describes it as "bacterial SSU rRNA". It matches the Rfam family "Bacterial small subunit ribosomal RNA", at positions 48 to 743 of the family's 1533-position model. Lineage: Bacteria; Bacillati; Actinomycetota; Actinomycetes; Micrococcales; Micrococcaceae. The record is from RNAcentral.